Coprinopsis cinerea okayama7#130 is the source of this 89-nucleotide non-coding RNA. NCBI's taxonomy places the organism in Eukaryota, Fungi, Basidiomycota, Agaricomycetes, Agaricales, Psathyrellaceae. The record is from the annotation of a RefSeq genome assembly.
UCCUUCUUAGCUCAGUUGGUAGAGCGCGUCACUAGUACGUCCAUCCGCGGAUUAUGACGAGGUCAGUCGUUCGAGUCGGCUAGAAGGAA